UACGAAGGGGGCUAGCGUUGUUCGGAGUUACUGGGCGUAAAGGGCGCGUAGGCGGCUGGUCAAGUCGGGUGUGAAAGCCCGGGGCUCAACCCCGGAAAUGCACUCGAGACUGAUCGGCUUGAGGACGGGAGAGGAUAGUGGAAUUCCCAGUGUAGAGGUGAAAUUCGUAGAUAUUGGGAAGAACACCGGUGGCGAAGGCGGCUAUCUGGACCGUUUCUGACGCUGAGGCGCGAAAGCGUGGGGAGCAAACAGG
RNAcentral lists this ribosomal RNA (253 nucleotides) under uncultured bacterium. RNAcentral describes it as "partial 16S ribosomal RNA". It matches the Rfam family "Bacterial small subunit ribosomal RNA", at positions 524 to 776 of the family's 1533-position model. The record is from RNAcentral.